UGGGGAAUAUUGCACAAUGGGCGCAAGCCUGAUGCAGCGACGCCGCGUGGGGGAUGACGGCCUUCGGGUUGUAAACCUCUUUCAGUAGGGACGAAGCGCAAGUGACGGUACCUACAGAAGAAGCACCGGCCAACUACGUGCCAGCAGCCGCGGUAAUACGUAGGGUGCGAGCGUUGUCCGGAAUUACUGGGCGUAAAGAGCUCGUAGGUGGUUUGUCGCGUUGUUCGUGAAAUCUCACAACUCAAUUGUGAGCGUGCGGGCGAUACGGGCAGACUGGAGUACUGCAGGGGAGACUGGAAUUCCUGGUGUAGCGGUGGAAUGCGCAGAUAUCAGGAGGAACACCGGUGGCGAAGGCGGGUCUCUGGGCAGUAACUGACGCUGAGGAGCGAAAGCGUGGGGAGCGAACA
This 407-nucleotide ribosomal RNA is filed under the name uncultured prokaryote. RNAcentral describes it as "bacterial SSU rRNA". It matches the Rfam family "Bacterial small subunit ribosomal RNA", at positions 355 to 774 of the family's 1533-position model. The record is from RNAcentral.